This 392-nucleotide ribosomal RNA is filed under the name uncultured bacterium. RNAcentral describes it as "bacterial SSU rRNA". It matches the Rfam family "Bacterial small subunit ribosomal RNA", at positions 29 to 416 of the family's 1533-position model. The record is from RNAcentral.
AGUGAACGCUGGCGGCAGGCCUAACACAUGCAAGUCGAACGGCAGCACAGUGGAGCUUGCUCCAUGGGUGGCGAGUGGCGGACGGGUGAGGAAUACAUCGGAAUCUGCCCAGUCGUGGGGGAUAACAUAGGGAAACUUAUGCUAAUACCGCAUACGACCUACGGGUGAAAGCGGGGGAUCGCAAGACCUCGCGCGAUUGGAUGAGCCGAUGUCCGAUUAGCUAGUUGGCGGGGUAAUGGCCCACCAAGGCGACGAUCGGUAGCUGGUCUGAGAGGAUGAUCAGCCACACUGGAACUGAGACACGGUCCAGACUCCUACGGGAGGCAGCAGUGGGGAAUAUUGGACAAUGGGCGCAAGCCUGAUCCAGCCAUGCCGCGUGGGUGAAGAAGGCC